GAAAGACCCCCGCCCUUAGCUUUCUCUUUUAAGUUUUCCCGCAUGCAGCUGGCGAAUACAUCCUCCCCUGCACCCCCUGACCCUUGAUCCCCACAGCUGCCGGCACUUCCCCGCCGCCGCGCAAGGCCGGCCCCGGCCCCCGCCGGACCGCUCCGUCCCAAGGUCUCCGCCCCCAAGGUCAGCCACCUGGGCGCGGAGGGAGGAAUCAAGUCUGUUGUACCAGACACCAGACCUUGAGAAUAUGCUGAUCUGGAAUGGCUCUGUGCCUCAUUUGAACCAUCAAAUAGAAUCCCUGCUCCUAGCUUGCGCCUUUUUCCCUAUAUAAGGACGCCUUUCCCUUGGCGCAGCGCGCUUGGCCUCAGAAAAGCUAAGUCGCCCCGGGUACCGCGUCUCCAAUAAAGCCUCUUGUUUUUUACAUCCAGUUCGUGGCCUCGCUGGUUCCUGGGUGUGUGGGUCUCCCUCUACGAAAGUGCCUCUUCGGGGUCUUUCAUUUGGGGGCUCGGUCCGGGAUCGAGACCCGCCCAGGGACCACCGACCCACGUCUGGGAGGUAAGUGUUGUGCGGAUCCGCUGUUUUGUCUUGUCUGGUCUGAGUCUGUCUUGUGAAUUGCGCUUGCGUUUGUAGUAUACAGCUGUGUACAUUUGUAGGCGGAUCCGAGGAGGGACUGACGGGUCCGAACUCCCGACCGCGGCUCCAGGAGACGUCCUGGUAGCGUUUGAAGCCCUCUGUGUGAGGAAUUUGUAUUUUGAACUUGGGAAGCCCUCAAUAUGAGGGAUUUGUACUUUGAAAACUGCGCUGCGAAAACCUGUUCUGUGUUCUGUGUUGUUUGGCCUUUGUUUUAUAAUUGAUGUGCAUAAACGCAAAUGAAUUACUCUUUGUUCCUCAGCUCGAGCGUAUAAACUUAUCUGGCCUGAUCCGGACAUCUAAACGGCCUUAAAGUUAUUAAGAACUAUAAAAAGGACUUUGAUAAAAUUUUGAUGUUAACUGAGAAAUGAAAAAAAAAAUAUAGGAGACUUAAAUAAUAAAGAGGGAAAGAAAAAAAAAAGAAAACUUGUCUAAGAAUGUCUAAGAGAGUCAGAGAAAUGAACUAAAAGGUUAUAGAAAAUUAAAGCAAGCAAGUCAUAGCAGAGAAGAUUGUUACAGAAAGUUAUGGAGGGUCAAAGCAAGUUAUAAAAGGUCAGAGGAAAGUUGUUAAAAAUCAGAAAAAAGGUUAUUAUAAGUCAGAGAAAAAUGUAAACUGUGCUAUGGUUUCUCAUGUCUAAAAUUUUAACCAUAUUAAGCUAAUUCUGUUUUAUAUAUACUUGUUUUAAAAUGUUCAUAUGACUUGACUGGUCGCCAUUUUGCUAAAAUUAAAAAAGAAUACUUAAACCGCCAUCUUGACUAAAGAUGACCGCAUGGAAAUUAGAGGUACCAUCUUAGAAACAAGUUUUUCAAUUGAGAUUUACAAUGUUAAUGCUUCUAUAUAUUACAGAAAGACCUUAAGGGAAUUUAAAUUUCUUUUUAAAACCAGUUUUUUAUGUUUGUUUUUAUUAAUGUUUGUACUUAAAGAGCUUCAAUUUAAAAUUAUUUUUGAGCAAAGCCUGACAAUGUAAAGUUUUUGUUUUAUGAAAGAUGCUGAUCUAUUAUAUGAUAUUACAGUUUAUAUUUUAGAAAUAAAUUUAGGAUGUUGAUAACACACACCUUUAAGCUCAGGAUGUUGGUAACACACGCCUUAAGUUUAGAACAUUGGUAACACAUGCCUUUAAUCCCACCACUCGGGAGUAAGAGGCAGAUGGAUCUUUAUGAGUUCAAGGCCUGUCUGGUCCGGCAGAUCGAAUUCCAGGACAGGCUCCAAAGUCACAGAAAAACCCUGCCUAAGAAAGAAGUUAAGCUACUGUUUAAGGAAUAUAAGGUAGCUCUAUGCAGUUUUAAGUUCAGCUGUGCUGUUUCAAACAUCUUACUAAGUUAAAACCAGUUACAGUCAGACUAAAAAUUAUUUACAGAAAUAAGACCUUACCUAGCCACCUGUAUACUUAAUGUGUGCUUAAGGCAAGUAAUUAAAACAGACAAACAGACCUCUAAUGCUUCAGAGAUCUUCAGAAUAUGGCAUUUAAAUUGUUAUCUUUAAAGUUUAUAAUGUCAG
RNAcentral lists this long non-coding RNA (2122 nucleotides) under Cricetulus griseus (Chinese hamster). RNAcentral's name for it is "lncRNA (ENSCGRG00015031785.1)". The stretch from base 617 to 713 matches the Rfam family "Gammaretrovirus core encapsidation signal". The record is from RNAcentral. Lineage: Eukaryota; Metazoa; Chordata; Mammalia; Rodentia; Cricetidae.